GGCCGCCUGGCGAAAUGGCAUCGCGUCUGACUACGAUUCAAAGCUGAUAUUUCAGUUCCUAAAUCAGGAGAUUGCAGGUUCGACCCCUGCGGUGGUCA
Non-coding RNA from Favolaschia claudopus, 98 nucleotides. NCBI's taxonomy places the organism in Eukaryota, Fungi, Basidiomycota, Agaricomycetes, Agaricales, Mycenaceae. The record is from the annotation of a GenBank genome assembly.